AAGGAACUCAUUGGAAGAUACUUUAAACGAUACAUCACCAUGUUUUACUAAAAAAUAUCCCUCUGCCCCUGGACCAUAUUCAAGAAUUUUACCCUCUUCCAAGAGCUGAUAAAAAUAAUUUUGGCCCCACCUAAAUCUGUAACUGCAUCUUCAACUUUUCAAGAUUUCUCUACAAUAUAUACCAUAAAAUGACCACCAGAGGGUGAAUUUGUGUUCCUUAGAGAUCCAGAUGAAAGGGUGAAAGGGACAAGACGAAUGGUGACCAGAUGGUCCAGUCCAGAAAAGCAUAAUUGCCAACUCUGAUUUAAGCUGGAAAAACUCCUCAAAGGAAAAUGGGAAUUUAGCUUCAAGAUAGUAGUUUCCAUAUUACCCAUGGGACAUGCCAAAGGAGCUUCUGGUAAGAAGUUGGAUAUUUGGAUCUGGAACUCAGAGGACAUAUAGAAGUUGAAGAUCUGGGCUACAUGAUGAGAUUCUUAGAGUGGGGAACCUCAGUAGUUAAAAAGUGAACUGCAAGAAUAUGCCAUAGAGGAGGUCAAAUAAAUUGACCUAAGAAUUAGAAAGGAUCUACAUUCAUGAUUGUGAAUACCUCUCUACAAAUGGACAUUAGAAACAAGGAAUGGAUUGGGAAGUCAGUAUAGAUUUGCUGGAGUGCAGUGUUUUGUUUCUGCUGUAGAAUUGAACACCCUGAUGUUUUUGGCAGAAGUUUUAAGGAGACAAAUUUUAAUAACUAGG
This is a long non-coding RNA of Molossus molossus (Pallas's mastiff bat), 732 nucleotides long. RefSeq lists it as uncharacterized. The transcript has 6 exons. The record is from RefSeq and is a predicted model, not a curated record. Lineage: Eukaryota; Metazoa; Chordata; Mammalia; Chiroptera; Molossidae.